UCGGGAAUUUUGGGCAAUGGGCGAAAGCCUGACCCAGCAACGCCGCGUGAGGGAUGAAGUAUUUCGGUAUGUAAACCUCGAAAGAAUGGGAAGAAUAAAUGACGGUACCAUUUAUAAGCUCCGGCUAACUACGUGCCAGCAGCCGCGGUAAUACGUAGGGAGCAAGCGUUGUUCGGAUUUACUGGGCGUAAAGGGCGCGUAGGCGGCGCGGUAAGUCACUUGUGAAAUCUCUGAGCUUAACUCAGAACGGCCAAGUGAUACUGCUGUGCUAGAGUGCGGAAGAGGCAACCGGAAUUCUUGGUGUAGCGGUGAAAUGCGUAGAUAUCAAGAGGGACACCUGAGGCGAAGGCGGGUUGCUGGGCCGACACUGACGCUGAUGCGCGAAAGCCAGGGGAGCAAACG
This 402-nucleotide ribosomal RNA is filed under the name uncultured bacterium. RNAcentral's name for it is "bacterial SSU rRNA". It matches the Rfam family "Bacterial small subunit ribosomal RNA", at positions 355 to 774 of the family's 1533-position model. The record is from RNAcentral.